ACACUGACGUCGCGACGCAUAUCAAUAAGCGGAGGAAAAGAAACUAACAAGGAUUCCCCUAGUAACGGCGAGUGAAGCGGGAAGAGCUCAAAUUUGAAAUCUUAAAGGGUUUCCCUUCACGAAUUGUAGUUUAAGGAAGUGUUUUCUGUUGAGGUUUUGGUAAAAGUUCUUUGGAAUAGGACAUCAUAGAGGGUGAGAAUCCCGUAUUUGACCAUUACUUUUCAACUUUGUGAUACACUUUCAAAGAGUCGGAUUGUUUGGGAAUGCAGUCCAAAAUGGGUGGUAAAUUUCAUCUAAAGCUAAAUAUUGGCGAGAGACCGAUAGCGAGCAAGUACCGUGAGGGAAAGAUGAAAAGAACUUUGAAAAGAGAGUUAAACAGUACGUGAAAUUGUCAAAAGGGAAGCGUUUGACACCAGUGUUGUUUUUCUGAAAAUCAAUUAAAGAACUGUUUAUGCUAAGUUGUUUAGACUUUAUCAGCUAUCUGUUUAGUUUUGAGCUUUUCUUUAAUGCACUUUUCAGUUAACAAGUCAACAUCAAUUUCUUUUGCUGUAAAAAAGCUUGAGGAAGGUGGCUUGAGAUUCGUCUUAAGUGUUUAUAGCCUCUUGCCUAUGCAGUCGGAGAGAUUGAGGUCUGCAGCGUAGAUCCUUCGGGGCUAAAUGCAUUUGUGCUAAGUUAUAGCAUUUCAUAGACAACUUGUUGACUAUGAUUUGUCUUGUAGCUUACUCGCUUAUGUUAUUUUACCUACGCUUAGGAUGUUGAACUCUAUCACACACAG
Molecule: ribosomal RNA, 775 nt
Filed under: uncultured Neocallimastigales
Lineage: Eukaryota; Fungi; Neocallimastigomycota; Neocallimastigomycetes; Neocallimastigales
Description: partial large subunit ribosomal RNA
Rfam family: Eukaryotic large subunit ribosomal RNA
Source: RNAcentral